UACGAAGGGGGCUAGCGUUGCUCGGAAUCACUGGGCGUAAAGGGUGCGUAGGCGGGUCUUUAAGUCAGGGGUGAAAUCCUGGAGCUCAACUCCAGAACUGCCUUUGAUACUGAAGAUCUUGAUUCCGGGAGAGGUGAGUGGAACUGCGAGUGUAGAGGUGAAAUUCGUAGAUAUUCGCAAGAACACCAGUGGCGAAGGCGGCUCACUGGCCCGGUACUGACGCUGAGGCACGAAAGCGUGGGGAGCAAACAGG
RNAcentral lists this ribosomal RNA (253 nucleotides) under uncultured bacterium. RNAcentral's name for it is "partial 16S ribosomal RNA". It matches the Rfam family "Bacterial small subunit ribosomal RNA", at positions 524 to 776 of the family's 1533-position model. The record is from RNAcentral.